This 482-nucleotide ribosomal RNA is filed under the name uncultured bacterium. RNAcentral describes it as "partial 16S ribosomal RNA". It matches the Rfam family "Bacterial small subunit ribosomal RNA", at positions 30 to 507 of the family's 1533-position model. The record is from RNAcentral.
AUUGAACGCUGGCGGCAUGCUUUACACAUGCAAGUCGAACGGUAACAGGCCGCAAGGUGCUGACGAGUGGCGAACGGGUGAGUAAUGCAUCGGAACGUGCCCAGUCGUGGGGGAUAACUACUCGAAAGAGUAGCUAAUACCGCAUACGAUCUAUGGAUGAAAGCGGGGGACGGUAAGGCCUCGUGCGAUUGGAGCGGCCGAUGUCAGAUUAGGUAGUUGGUGGGGUAAAGGCUCACCAAGCCAACGAUCUGUAGCUGGUCUGAGAGAACGACCAGCCACACUGGAACUGAGACACGGCCCAGACUCCUACGGGAGGCAGCAGUGGGGAAUUUUGGACAAUGGGCGCAAGCCUGAUCCAGCAAUGCCGCGUGCAGGAAGAAGGCCUUCGGGUUGUAAACUGCUUUUGUACGGAACGAAACGGCUCUGGUUAAUACCCGGGGCUAAUGACGGUACUGUAAGAAUAAGCACCGGCUAACUACGUG